GCAGUAGUGGUUCAGUGGUAGAAUUCUUGCCUUCCAUGUGAGAGACCUGGGUUCAAUUCCUGGCCAAAGCA
This 71-nucleotide transfer RNA is filed under the name Loxodonta africana (African savanna elephant). It matches the Rfam family "tRNA". From Rfam's summary of the family: Transfer RNA (tRNA) molecules are approximately 80 nucleotides in length. Their secondary structure includes four short double-helical elements and three loops (D, anti-codon, and T loops). Lineage: Eukaryota; Metazoa; Chordata; Mammalia; Proboscidea; Elephantidae. The record is from Rfam by way of RNAcentral.